This 502-nucleotide ribosomal RNA is filed under the name Cirrospilus sp. A RKP-2019. RNAcentral describes it as "partial 28S large subunit ribosomal RNA". It matches the Rfam family "Eukaryotic large subunit ribosomal RNA", at positions 693 to 1138 of the family's 3401-position model. Lineage: Eukaryota; Metazoa; Arthropoda; Insecta; Hymenoptera; Eulophidae. The record is from RNAcentral.
AUUGGGACUGCAAAGCCUAAAGGCGUAAUGAAAGUGAAGGUCUGACCUUGCGUCGACCGAGGGAGGAUGGCUCGCGUCACGAUGCGAGCCCGCACUCCCGGGGCGUCUCGCGCUCAUUGCGAGCGGAGGCGCACCCAGAGCGUACACGUUGGGACCCGAAAGAUGGUGAACUAUGCCUGGUCAGGACGAAGUCAGGGGAAACCCUGAUGGAGGUCCGUAGCGAUUCUGACGUGCAAAUCGAUCGUCGGAACUGGGUAUAGGGGCGAAAGACUAAUCGAACCAUCUAGUAGCUGGUUCCCUCCGAAGUUUCCCUCAGGAUAGCUGGCACUCGCGUGAGCGAGUCUCAUCUGGUAAAGCGAAUGAUUAGAGGCCUUGGGGCCGAAACGACCUCAACCUAUUCUCAAACUUUAAAUGGGUGAGAUCUCUGGCUUGCUUGAACGUUGAAGCCACGAGAUUUAUAUUUUUAAUAUAAACGGAUCAGAGUGCCAAGUGGGCCAAUUUU